RNAcentral lists this ribosomal RNA (353 nucleotides) under uncultured bacterium. RNAcentral's name for it is "bacterial SSU rRNA". It matches the Rfam family "Bacterial small subunit ribosomal RNA", at positions 335 to 698 of the family's 1533-position model. The record is from RNAcentral.
ACUCCUACGGGAGGCAGCAGUAGGGAAUCUUGCGCAAUGGGCGAAAGCCUGACGCAGCGACGCCGCGUGAGGGAUGACGGCCUUCGGGUUGUAAACCUCUUUCAGUAGGGACGAAGCCUCACGGUGACGGUACCUACAGAAGAAGCCCCGGCCAACUACGUGCCAGCAGCCGCGGUAAUACGUAGGGGGCAAGCGUUGUCCGGAUUUAUUGGGCGUAAAGAGCUCGUAGGCGGCUAUUCACGUCGGAUGUGAAAGCUCAAGGCUCAACCUUGAGAGGCCAUUCGAUACGGGAUAGCUAGAGGUAGGUAGGGGAGAUCGGAAUUCCUGGUGUAGCGGUGAAAUGCGUAGAGAUC